AUAGCAGUAAUAGUACAUGUAGUAGUUGCAUGUUACAUUUGCAUACAUGUGACAUCGCAAACAUACACACAUAAUGUACACAUUGCAUACAUAUGUAUGUUGUAAGACACGCACACAUAGCUAAUACUUGAUUUCUAAGCAUGCAAAUGCAAAUCGAUCAAACUAAAAAUUGUUGCACAUUAAGGUUUCAUAAACAGGAUUAUUAUAAUUGUUACUAUAUGGCAAGGUUUAUUGGGAGGUAAGCGUAGGAGCAGGGCGAAACUAAAUUGGUGUACAUCAACUACAUGGUUACCGUCUACUAAUCUUUAUAGCAAAAAAUGGAAAUACACACUCCAGCAUUAAUAUGGAAUGGUGUGUGUAUAAGGUUAUUGUCAGUAAGCCUAAUUAUCAUGUGUCAGACUACAAAAAGCAAAGUUCAUGCAAAAAAACAAUACAUGCAAUCCUGUCAAGAAACCCUGCAACACUAAAGAUACUGUAUAAUUCAACAUACUUACGUAUUGAGCUGAAUAGUUGCUGUGUCAGGGUCUGGUAAGCCCAACUAGCAGAGGCCCAGGAGAGGCAUCCCGAUCCGCCAUAAUUAUUUCUGAAGUCUUAGGAGUGUCACUGUUGGAGUGUUGGUUUUAGGUGUGGCUUUGUUGAAAACAUUAACACAUACCAGAUAAGUGAACUGAUAACGUUUUCUUUUUUUCUGAAUGUUUUCGAAAUCAUUAUUAUUUUAGAGAGAGAGAUGUAGACUACUAGAAUAAAGAAGCAGCCAGUUAAUGAUGACAGAAAGACUGGUGCAGCACUGCAUGGAAUUCAACACUUUAAUAUGCUGGAAUCAUCAUAUCUGUUGAAACAAGUGCAGAGCCAGUUGCAUUCUAGAAUUAUUGACUUAGAUCUAGUUUGCGUACAGAUUACUUCUAUUGCACAAAUUUAAUUUGAGGUCUAAUCCAGCAAACCACACCUAUAACAGCCAGGAGCCUCAUACGGCACGUUACCAUCAAUUCUUUGACUGUCUUCUGGGCUCUAUAGUCUGUACUGAUCUACACUGGGAUUUAAAAUGGCUGAUGAACUUUUGAAAAGUCAAAGACUGAGAGUGAAUGACAAGGUUUUUUAUCAGGAAACAGUAACGAAUAAGAUGACAAGAAAAGUAACAAGUGAAUCCGCCAGCAGUUAUCUAGUUGCUUGCUUUAAAGAGACUCCUAAACAAUUAGAUGAAAAAUUGUUCUUGAUUAGUGGACAGCAGGUUAAACGAUAACUUUAGAAAUUUUGUGUGCAUUUACUCAUUAUUUAUCAUUAAUAAAGAAUAUAAUAUUGGCAAAAGCAAGCUAUUAGGCAUUAUGUAAAUUUAAAAUUGGUCUUACAUUUAGUGCCCCAUUUAUCAGUAUACUGGUACAUCUUUGAAGAGAUUGUAGUGAGCUGACUCAUCAUGACAUCACAUCAGAACUCAUAAAUAAUCAUGAACUAUCUUUGUAUAUAAUGCAUGCUGUGUAAUUAUUAUAAUCAGUGUUUGGGUGUCAACA
Molecule: long non-coding RNA, 1505 nt
Filed under: Amphimedon queenslandica
Lineage: Eukaryota; Metazoa; Porifera; Demospongiae; Haplosclerida; Niphatidae
Description: uncharacterized LOC109580355, transcript variant X4
Source: RNAcentral